CAGCUGCCCUCCUUCACAAAGACUCCCGCCCAGGGAACCGGGUGCUGUUGCGUGCAGGCAGCCCCGCCCUCCAGGAGCGACAGACCCAAGUCAACUCCUCCCAGAGAAGGAGGACCCCCGCUGUGCCUGGUGCUGGGCGGUCCUCGGAGCACAGUCUGGGCAGCGGGGGAGGGUCGGCCCCGGGGGCUCCACAGGAGCUCCGGAAGGGUGGGGGAAGGGUGUCCAAGAGCAAGGGCCCUCGGUGGGAAGGGAGCUGGGGAGAGGGCCAGCCCAAGCACAGCGCAAUUCUGGAACAUGUGGUAUGUUUGAGGGGUGGGUGGCAUUUGGAGAGAAGUAUCAGUUGGCCUGUCCUUGGGCGCUGGCCUCUCUCCCUGUUCCUUAUGCUGUUCCCAUCUCUCUCCACUGCAGUGGGCCCCACAGCUUUUUCGCAGGGAGAAAUGACAGAUGACACCCAGCUCGUCCCGGUGACACGCAGGGUUGGGGUCUCUGGGACACCCACCAAGCAGGGACCCACAAGACCAGGAUGCUUGACUGAUGGAACCAGAGGCUCCACCCCUCCACGGCCAAGACGCCACUGGGCUUGCUGCAAGACAGAAGUAACUUUUCACUGGGGAAAGGAAAGUGGUAGACAGAGCCGCUGUGAGAAGUGUAUCCAACAUCGUAUCUAGCUCCAGACCAGUCACAUGUCAGUCCUCAGGCCCUAAUCGCCCGUCCACCGUGUCUGAGACGUAACUGCAGCCGGAAGAUGAAUGGACCAGCUGACCCUGGCCCUGGGCCCUGGCCUCUGAUGGACUCUGCCCCCCACCUCCUCUGCCGCCCCGUUUCUUCUCUCCACCCCACCGGGCACAUCAGGCUCCAGACACCCGCCUCUGGUGGACCCUCAGUAACUACCCGCCAGAUGAAGGACAGGAUUGCCACUGCCUUUUGCAGCAGGCAGGUCCGAACUCUUCCCGGCGGCCUCACCUGGAUCUCAGCCUCCAACCAGCAGAGCGCUGGGCACCAGGUGGGGCAGCCGAUGAAGCUGGUCUUCUUGGGGGAUUUGUUGACAGCAUUUGAAAACAGCAAGUAAUGAUGACACGUACGUGAAAUGGACUAUUACGUCCCCAAGAAAAAUCUAAUUAAACGAGAAAAGUGUAUGUGGAAAAGCCACGUCCCACCCUGUGAACACCACGUGGCACCAUGUUAGGAAACACGCGAGUGAAGAGGUGACCAGCCUGCUGUUAGAAGUGACUGUCAAAGCUUCAUAAAUACACAUUUCUAUUAACCUUGGCUGUGCCAUUUCCUCUUUUCCCUGCUGGACGGAAAUGCCUCAGCUCAGGUUGAAUCAGGGGGAAAGGGGAGGCGCCCCCAAAUUCUCAAGUGCAUCCUCUAAUGACCUGGGACAUUCCUAAUCCCCACUGAGGCUCAUCAAUACAAAGGAAGUGCAUGUUGCCAACUCCCGUGAGUAGAAGGAAGGGGUCUGGGUGACCCUCCGUCCCUUCAUUUCCUGCCCAC
Molecule: long non-coding RNA, 1494 nt
Organism: Bos taurus (domestic cattle)
Lineage: Eukaryota; Metazoa; Chordata; Mammalia; Artiodactyla; Bovidae
Source: Ensembl